Molecule: transfer RNA, 73 nt
Filed under: Neurospora tetrasperma FGSC 2508
Lineage: Eukaryota; Fungi; Ascomycota; Sordariomycetes; Sordariales; Sordariaceae
Also listed under: 1 other name
Description: tRNA-Asn (ATT) (tRNA-Asn-ATT-4-1)
Rfam family: tRNA
About the family: Transfer RNA (tRNA) molecules are approximately 80 nucleotides in length. Their secondary structure includes four short double-helical elements and three loops (D, anti-codon, and T loops). Further hydrogen bonds mediate the characteristic L-shaped molecular structure. tRNAs have two regions of fundamental functional importance: the anti-codon, which is responsible for specific mRNA codon recognition, and the 3' end, to which the tRNAs corresponding amino acid is attached (by aminoacyl-tRNA synthetases). tRNAs cope with the degeneracy of the genetic code in two manners: having more than one tRNA (with a specific anti-codon) for a particular amino acid; and 'wobble' base-pairing, i.e. permitting non-standard base-pairing at the 3rd anti-codon position.
Source: RNAcentral
AGUCCCGUAGUUCAAUAGUUAGAACGUCAGGGUAUUAACCCGAAAGUCACAAGUUCGAAUCCUGCCGGGACCA